This 433-nucleotide ribosomal RNA is filed under the name uncultured bacterium. Its description in RNAcentral is "bacterial SSU rRNA". It matches the Rfam family "Bacterial small subunit ribosomal RNA", at positions 958 to 1392 of the family's 1533-position model. The record is from RNAcentral.
AACGCGAAGAACCUUACCAGGUCUUGACAUCCCAGUGACCGCUCUAGAGAUAGAGUUUUUCUUCGGAACACUGGUGACAGGUGGUGCAUGGUUGUCGUCAGCUCGUGUCGUGAGAUGUUGGGUUAAGUCCCGCAACGAGCGCAACCCUUAUUGUUAGUUGCCAUCAUUCAGUUGGGCACUCUAGCGAGACUGCCGGUAAUAAACCGGAGGAAGGUGGGGAUGACGUCAAAUCAUCAUGCCCCUUAUGAUCUGGGCUACACACGUGCUACAAUGGUUGGUACAACGAGUCGCAAGUCGGUGACGGCAAGCAAAUCUCUUAAAGCCAAUCUCAGUUCGGAUUGUAGGCUGCAACUCGCCUACAUGAAGUCGGAAUCGCUAGUAAUCGCGGAUCAGCACGCCGCGGUGAAUACGUUCCCGGGCCUUGUACACACCG